This 424-nucleotide ribosomal RNA is filed under the name uncultured bacterium. RNAcentral's name for it is "partial 16S ribosomal RNA". It matches the Rfam family "Bacterial small subunit ribosomal RNA", at positions 354 to 796 of the family's 1533-position model. The record is from RNAcentral.
GUGGGGAAUCUUAGACAAUGGGCGCAAGCCUGAUCUAGCCAUGCCGCGUGAGCGAUGAAGGCCUUAGGGUUGUAAAGCUCUUUCGCUGGGGAAGAUAAUGACUGUACCCAGUAAAGAAGCCCCGGCUAACUCCGUGCCAGCAGCCGCGGUAAUACGGAGGGGGCUAGCGUUGUUCGGAAUUACUGGGCGUAAAGCGCGCGUAGGCGGAUUGGAAAGUUGGGGGUGAAAUCCCGGGGCUCAACCUCGGAACUGCCUUCAAAACUCCCAGUCUUGAGUUCGAGAGAGGUGAGUGGAAUUCCGAGUGUAGAGGUGAAAUUCGUAGAUAUUCGGAGGAACACCAGUGGCGAAGGCGGCUCACUGGCUCGAUACUGACGCUGAGGUGCGAAAGCGUGGGGAGCAAACAGGAUUAGAUACCCGUGUGUCC